Long non-coding RNA from Mus musculus (house mouse), 414 nucleotides. RefSeq annotates it as predicted gene, 39337. NCBI's taxonomy places the organism in Eukaryota, Metazoa, Chordata, Mammalia, Rodentia, Muridae. The transcript has 3 exons. The record is from RefSeq and is a predicted model, not a curated record.
GUCUCGCCGGUCUCCACUGCUGACCAGCUUUAGUGGAGAUGUCCCGGUUGUAGGUUUUUGGUAAGAAAAAUCAUACGAAAGGAAAGGAAGGACCCAGACAGCAGCGCCUGAGGACUGGCUGGCCGGCAGCACUGUCAGGGAUGGGGGUGACAUGGAGAACGAGCAGCUAGCAAAGCAAGCAGGCGAAUCUGCACAGCGUUUUCUUGACUCAUGGCUGAUGUGGAAGGGCCCAGGCCACUGUGGUGAUGCAGCCCAGGCAGGACCGUGGUCCUGGAUGGGAGAAGAAAGCAGGCUGGUGAGCCAUGGGCGGCAUGCUAUCAGGCAGUGCUCGUCCAUGGCUGCUGCUUCAGCUCCUGGCUUCCCUGGAUGAUUUAGACUGAAGUAUAAGCUAAAUAAACCCUCUUCUCCCCAGCA